This 113-nucleotide unclassified non-coding RNA is filed under the name Chryseobacterium gambrini. Its description in RNAcentral is "Flavo-1 RNA". The record is from RNAcentral. Lineage: Bacteria; Pseudomonadati; Bacteroidota; Flavobacteriia; Flavobacteriales; Weeksellaceae.
UUCUAGCCCCGAUUGGAGCUUUGUCUGAGCUCAUUUUCUGUAUUUUGGCUGCGGCAGCUUCGCUGCCGCAGCCAAAAUACAGAAAAUAGCGAGUGCGGAAAGCGGGAAACAGC